This 253-nucleotide ribosomal RNA is filed under the name uncultured bacterium. RNAcentral's name for it is "partial 16S ribosomal RNA". It matches the Rfam family "Bacterial small subunit ribosomal RNA", at positions 524 to 776 of the family's 1533-position model. The record is from RNAcentral.
UACAGAGGGGGCAAGCGUUGUUCGGAAUUACUGGGCGUAAAGGGCGCGUAGGCGGCCUGCUAAGUCGAACGUGAAAUCCCUGGGCUCAACCCAGGAACUGCGUCCGAUACUGGUUGGCUUGAAUCCGGGAGAGGGAUGUGGAAUUCCGGGUGUAGCGGUGAAAUGCGUAGAUAUCUGGAGGAAUACCGGUGGCGAAGGCGGCAUCCUGGACCGGCAUUGACGCUGAGGAGCGAAAGCCAGGGGAGCAAACGGG